This 414-nucleotide ribosomal RNA is filed under the name uncultured microorganism. Its description in RNAcentral is "bacterial SSU rRNA". It matches the Rfam family "Archaeal small subunit ribosomal RNA", at positions 459 to 872 of the family's 1478-position model. The record is from RNAcentral.
CAGCCGCCGCGGUAAUACCGGCGGCCCGAGUGGCGGUCACUAUUAUUGGGCUUAAAGCGUCCGUAGCCGGGUUGGGAAGUCCUCCGGGAAAUCUGGCCGCUUAACGGUCAGAAUGCCGGAGGAUACUCCCAGCCUAGGGAGCGGGAGAGGCCGGGGGUAUUCCCGGAGUAGGGGGGAAAUCCUAUAAUCCCGGGAGGACCACCUGUGGCGAAGGCGCUCGGCUGGGACGCGUCCGACGGUGAGGGACGAAGGCCAGGGGAGCAAACCGGAUUAGAUACCCGGGUAGUCCUGGCUGUAAACGAUGCGGACUUUGUGUCGGACAAGCUAUGAGCUUGUCCGGUGCCGGAGGGAAACCGUUAAGUCCGCCGCCUGGGGAGUACGGCCGCAAGGCUGAAACUUAAAGGAAUUGGCGGG